AACGAACGCUGGCGGCAUGCCUAACACAUGCAAGUCGAACGAACCCUUCGGGGUUAGUGGCGCACGGGUGCGUAACGCGUGGGAAUCUGCCCUUUGCUUCGGAAUAACAGUUAGAAAUGACUGCUAAUACCGGAUAAUGUCGCAAGACCAAAGAUUUAUCGGCAAAGGAUGAGCCCGCGUAAGAUUAGCUAGUUGGUGGGGUAAUGGCCUACUAAGGCGACGAUCUUUAGCUGGUCUGAGAGGAUGAUCAGCCACACUGGGACUGAGACACGGCCCAGACUCCUACGGGAGGCAGCAGUGGGGAAUAUUGGACAAUGGGCGCAAGCCUGAUCUAGCCAUGCCGCGUGAGCGAUGAAGGCCUUAGGGUUGUAAAGCUCUUUCAGUGGGGAAGAUAAUGACUGUACCCACAGAAGAAGCCCCGGCUAACUCCGUG
Molecule: ribosomal RNA, 433 nt
Filed under: uncultured bacterium
Lineage: Bacteria
Description: bacterial SSU rRNA
Rfam family: Bacterial small subunit ribosomal RNA
Source: RNAcentral